CCAUCACUGUCACAUUUAUUAAAAUCGGCUCCUGUGUCUAACAACAUCCUUACUAUUUCGGUAUGUCCCUCAAUACAAGCAUGCAUUACAGGUGACAAACCAUCACUUUUACAUUUAUUAUAAUCUGCUCCUAUGUCUAACAACAUCUUUACUAUUUCUGUAUGUCCAUAUCUACAAGCACACAUUACAGGUGACCAACCAUCACUGUCACAUUUAUUAUAGUCUGCUCCAGUGUCUAACAACAUCAUUAAUAUUUCUGUAUUUCCAUCUAUACAAGCAUGCAUUACAGGUGACCAACCAUCACUUUUACAUUUAUUAUAAUCUACUCCUAUGUCUAACAACAUCCUUACUAUUUCUGUAUGUCCAUAUCUACAAGCACACAUUACAGGUGACCAACCAUCAUUGUCACAUUUAUUAUAAUCUGCUCCUGUGUCUAACAACAUCCUUACUAUUUCUGUAUGUCCAUAUCUACAAGCAUGCAUUACCGGCGACCAACCAUUAUUGUCACAUUUAUUAUAAUCUGCGCCUAUGUCUAACAACAUCCUUACUAUUUCUGUAUGUCCCUCAAUACAAGUCAUCAACACAGGUGACAAACCAACACUGUCACAUGUAUUAUAAUUGGUUCCUUUGUCUAACAACAUCUUUACUAUUUCUGUAUGUCCAUAUCUACAAGCACUCAUUACAGGUGACCAACCAUCAUUGUCACAUUUAUUGUAAUCUGCUCCUGUGUCUAACAACAUCCUUACUAUUUUUGUAUGUCCAUAUCUACAAGCAGUCAUUACAGGUGACCAACCUUCACUGUUACAUUUUGUAUAGUCUGCUCCUGUGCCUAACAACAUCCUCACUAUUUCUGUAUGCCCAUUUAUACAAGCAUGC
This is a long non-coding RNA of Mytilus californianus (California mussel), 876 nucleotides long. RefSeq lists it as uncharacterized. Lineage: Eukaryota; Metazoa; Mollusca; Bivalvia; Mytilida; Mytilidae. The record is from RefSeq and is a predicted model, not a curated record. The transcript has 3 exons.